This 769-nucleotide long non-coding RNA is filed under the name Serinus canaria (Common canary). RNAcentral's name for it is "lncRNA (ENSSCAG00000004004.1)". The record is from RNAcentral. Lineage: Eukaryota; Metazoa; Chordata; Aves; Passeriformes; Fringillidae.
GAAAUGUUUUGUGCUGGCAUGCACACCAUGAACCACCAGCUCCAGCCAGGCAAUCAGGGUGGCUCACUCCACACCAGGCACCUUCUGUCUCACCACUUGCAGAGUACCUUUGGUCCCUCUCAGCCUCUGCCAGACCAUACCCGGCAAUAGAACACUUCAAUUCAAAUCCCACGUCACCUUGGUAAUGAUUAGCUAAAGAGCUGCCGCCACCACCCCGAGGUCCUGCUGUGCCCAGCACUGCACAGGGGAAGGGCUGAGCCCAAAGCCCUGAUUCCUCGGUGCCUGGGAUGCUAGGGAAUGCAUCCCCCCAAAAAGGGGGGUGUUCUAGCUCUUUUGCUGCAGUCCAUAAGCAUGUAUCUGUCACCCUCUCAAGACAGAGAGCAGCUCGGUGGAGUAAAGUUCCUGCCUGCCUGUCCUGGAGUGAUCUUUGGUAAUGAGUGAAGGAGGGAGCACCGUCUGGGCCAUAGACACCCUGUGUGUUUCUUGACACAGGUGAAAGCCGGGUGCCCAUCUGGCAUCCCAGCGUUCCUAUGCCUUGAUUCCCCCCUACGGAACGGAGACUGUCCCGGUCCCACAGCAGAUGGACACCGCAAUCCUCCGCGUCCCCGGGUCAGAGAGGGGUGCAGCUUUCUCGGCUUGGAACACCAGCUUUUCCAACCCUUCCUGCCUCACCCGGUGCGGCUCUGGGAAGGACAGCUGAAAGGGGAACACUUUGUGGCUGCGAGUGAUGCCGCACGUUUCGCCAGGGCGUGAGCCCCAAAACCCGCAG